This 255-nucleotide ribosomal RNA is filed under the name uncultured bacterium. RNAcentral describes it as "partial 16S ribosomal RNA". It matches the Rfam family "Bacterial small subunit ribosomal RNA", at positions 524 to 776 of the family's 1533-position model. The record is from RNAcentral.
UACAGAGGGUGCGAGCGUUGUUCGGAAUUACUGGGCGUAAAGCGCGCGCAGGCGGCCCUUUAAGUCUACCCGUGAAAUGCCGGAGCUCAACUCCGUGCACGCCGGGGGAUACUGGGGGGCUGGAGACAUGUAGAGGCAAGCGGAAUUCCGGGUGUAGCGGUGGAAUGCGUAGAUAUCCGGAAGAACACCAGAGGCGAAGGCGGCUUGCUGGGCAUGAUCUGACGCUGAGGCGCGAAAGCGUGGGGAGCAAACAGG